Molecule: non-coding RNA, 73 nt
Organism: Trichonephila clavata
Lineage: Eukaryota; Metazoa; Arthropoda; Arachnida; Araneae; Nephilidae
Source: the annotation of a GenBank genome assembly
GUCCCUGUAGCGCAAUAGAUCGUGCGUUGGAUUUUUAAUCCAAAGGUCGUGGUUUCGAAUCCCACCUGAGAUA